Ictalurus punctatus (channel catfish) is the source of this 1207-nucleotide long non-coding RNA. The record is from Ensembl. Lineage: Eukaryota; Metazoa; Chordata; Actinopteri; Siluriformes; Ictaluridae.
GUUUUGUGCAUGCAAGUUUGCAAGGAACAAGGACCUGAUCUUGUAUAAGAAGAUUAUUAGCCAUUUUCCAUGCUGUUUUCAGCCCAAGCGCUCAGGGCAAGGGGUGUUUAUAGGAAAUUUCUCCAAGUGGAUAUUGAACUGAUAUGACACUGCAUAUUGCAAAUCUUCUCCUUAUGGGCAUCAGUUGAAGGCAUGUGCCUUCAUGAUGUUUGCGUUGCUGCCUGCACAUCACUAUGUGUCUUCUCCAUCAGCUUCAGGGUUAACAUCACUCCUCCCACUGAUCUGGUGUUUGUGCGUGGUGGCAGCAUUGAUGCAGCCUGGAGAAAAGGGAAAGAUGAAGAAAUAACAACUGUGUUUACAUGCAAAAUAAUCUGUUAACUGAAAAUAAUCAGAUUUUGGCAGUAAUUUGGUAAUAAUUCAUGCAUUUCCAUGAACAUAAUUUGAGAAUAAGAAUAAGGGAAAAGUAAAGGACUACACAAAGAUGUGAGAUGAGAAGAUGGAUGGAGAUGGAGGUUUGUGGAAGAGAAAAUGGAACUAAACAGAAAAUGGCAGGUAGGAUGUGUAUAUGUGCGCGCAGAUGUGUGUGUGAGAGUGUGCAUGUGUGUGUGUGUGUGUGUGUGUGUGUGUGUGUGUGUGAGAGAGAGAGAGAGAGAGAGAGAGAGAGAGAGAGAGAGAGAGAGAGAGAGAGAGAGAAGGAGAGAGAGAAAGAGGAAAGGAAAGAAAGGAAAGAAGUAUAUGAAGCAUAGUGAAAUGAGCAAACCACAGAGAAGCCAGUUCUAGAAACAAAGGACCAGGGUGAUGCAUGGUAUAUGGAGGGUAUAAAUAUAUAGAGGUAGUGUUGAAGAACGGAUUAGAGAAAAAAGGAACAAAUGAAAGAGUAAGAAUCAGCAGAAGGUGGUUUUGCGGUCCUGAAGCCUAACGUGUGGAGGAGGGAGGAAGGGAGGGAGGCUGGGGAUGGGAGGGCUAGAUCAAUAACUAAUUUCAGUACUGGGCCUUAGUCGGACUGCUUUCCAAUAAGCCCUGGACAUAACGAGUUAGCUUGAAUAGCUGUGCGACUCUCUCUCUCCUUCUCUCUGCAUUACUCUCUCUCUUUCUAUCUUUCUGUUUGUCUCUCUCACUCAAUCCCCCUCCCUUUCUCUCUGCUUCUUGUCUCUCAGGGCCUGGUGCUGGCAAUGGCUGGAUCGAUCGGCUUCUCUCUCAUUCUCUC